UUCUAAUUCUAUGUGCGAAGAAACCGAAGCACUGAAUGUUUAAGUCAAUACCCCAAGGUUACCUAGCCAGUAAGUUAUAGAGCAGACAUUCAGACCCACACCGUCUGGCUCCAGAGUCCAGAUUUUAACCACUCUACAGCCUCUCGCUAGAGUUCACUGAUUGGUGUAGUGAGCCUAUAAGUGAACUGAAAUUACUGGAUAAAAACUCUACUUUGGGAAAUCAGAAGACACAGCUGGGGAGGAUGGGUGCCCUGUUCGGUGUCGACACUAGUGACCAGACGCGUAGUCCCAAUCCUGCUCUGGGGAUGAAGUAAUGAGACAACAUCUGGUAAUCUUUUGGGAACUCUUCCCCAGUGGUAAGUGAGCUCUGAAAAUAACUAGUGCUUAACUGGGCAAAAUGAAAUUUUAGGAGGUUGUGUGAAUUUUAUGCUGCAGUCUUCCUAAUUAAAUCCAGCCAGCCUGGCCUGGCCACAGGAUUCGACUCCUGCUCAGUGCCCUGAGGAAGGAAGGGAUUUACCUGAUUUACAUUCUGUCACCAAAUGACACAAAGGACCACACUAGUUGAGAAGCACCUGUCACCAUUUAUAACCAUGUUCCUUUGGUAUUUGUCUUGAUUCCUUUAAGAGUAAACAAACAUUUUGUGAAUUUAAUGUUAUAUACAGACUUGGAAAGAUUUUUUUUGUGUGUACCAUAACAUUGUCAGCUGUGUUUAAUGAAAUCUGGUGGCCUUGGAGAGUCUAUUUUUCCCCUUUGGCACCCAACAGGAGUAGAAAGACUCCAAGAAAAUGUAUCCAUAAGGGGCAAUCUGAAUGUAACCCAACAGACAGAUGUUUCAAGAACAUGCUUUUUUUAGUCAAAUAUGAUCUGUGAUGCACGGAAUGUCACAGGGCUUGAAAGAAACCAGAACUGCAGCGGCCUCAUUGAGCUGAAAUACAAGGGUACCACGGCUUGUUAACAGAGUUUAACGGCUUGUGUGCUCUUUCACCCUGUUACACGCCUAGUAAGUAAUAAAAAUGUACGAGAGAUUAAAAAAAAUUCUGAUUUGUGAAACACAAAAUCUCUGCUAUGACUUAGAAAUAGUUUUUAGUGUUACGACUACAUUUUUAUAUGUAUUUGAAAGUGCAACUACCUAGCAGUUUGUAGAGAGCUAAUGUGCAUGAAUGCAAGUUUUAUUUAAAUAUGUGGUUCUUUACCUUUCACCAGCACUCACAUAUAUGCACACACUUUUUAUCAAGG
RNAcentral lists this long non-coding RNA (1236 nucleotides) under Equus caballus (horse). Its description in RNAcentral is "lncRNA (ENSECAG00000059896.1)". Lineage: Eukaryota; Metazoa; Chordata; Mammalia; Perissodactyla; Equidae. The record is from RNAcentral.